GUGCUCGCUGCGGCAGCACAUACACUAAAACUGGAACGGUACAGAGAAGAUUAGCAAGGCCCCUGCGCAAGGAUGACACGCAAACUUGUGAAGUGCUCCAUAUUUCU
Small nuclear RNA from Oryctolagus cuniculus (rabbit), 107 nucleotides. The record is from Ensembl. NCBI's taxonomy places the organism in Eukaryota, Metazoa, Chordata, Mammalia, Lagomorpha, Leporidae.